RNAcentral lists this ribosomal RNA (487 nucleotides) under uncultured Methanosaeta sp. RNAcentral's name for it is "bacterial SSU rRNA". It matches the Rfam family "Archaeal small subunit ribosomal RNA", at positions 855 to 1338 of the family's 1478-position model. Lineage: Archaea; Methanobacteriati; Methanobacteriota; Methanomicrobia; Methanotrichales; Methanotrichaceae. The record is from RNAcentral.
CUUAAAUGAAUUGACGGGGGAGCACCACAACGGGUGGAGCUUGCGGUUUAAUUGGAUUCAACGCCGGAAAUCUUACCGGGACCGACAGCAAUAUGAAGGCCAGGCUGAAGACUUUGCCGGAUUAGCUGAGAGGUGGUGCAUGGCCGUCGUCAGUUCGUACUGUGAAGCAUCCUGUUAAGUCAGGCAACGAGCGAGACCCACGCCCACAGUUGCCAGCGUACUCUCUGGAGUGACGGGUACACUGUGGGACCGCCGCUGCUAAAGCGGAGGAAGGAAUGGGCAACGGUAGGUCAGUAUGCCCCGAAUAUCCCGGGCUACACGCGAGCUACAAUGGUUGGUACAAUGGGUAUCUACCCCGAAAGGGGACGGGAAUCUCCUAAAACCAAUCUUAGUUCGGAUUGAGGGCUGCAACUCGCCCUCAUGAAGCUGGAAUCCGUAGUAAUCGCGUUUCAACAGAACGCGGUCGAAUUACCCGUCCCUGCUCCUU